RNAcentral lists this ribosomal RNA (1412 nucleotides) under Klebsiella pneumoniae. Its description in RNAcentral is "bacterial SSU rRNA". It matches the Rfam family "Bacterial small subunit ribosomal RNA". Lineage: Bacteria; Pseudomonadati; Pseudomonadota; Gammaproteobacteria; Enterobacterales; Enterobacteriaceae. The record is from RNAcentral.
UGCAAGUCGAGCGGUAGCACAGAGAGCUUGCUCUCGGGUGACGAGCGGCGGACGGGUGAGUAAUGUCUGGGAAACUGCCUGAUGGAGGGGGAUAACUACUGGAAACGGUAGCUAAUACCGCAUAACGUCGCAAGACCAAAGUGGGGGACCUUCGGGCCUCAUGCCAUCAGAUGUGCCCAGAUGGGAUUAGCUAGUAGGUGGGGUAACGGCUCACCUAGGCGACGAUCCCUAGCUGGUCUGAGAGGAUGACCAGCCACACUGGAACUGAGACACGGUCCAGACUCCUACGGGAGGCAGCAGUGGGGAAUAUUGCACAAUGGGCGCAAGCCUGAUGCAGCCAUGCCGCGUGUAUGAAGAAGGCCUUCGGGUUGUAAAGUACUUUCAGCGGGGAGGAAGGCGAUAAGGUUAAUAACCUUGUCGAUUGACGUUACCCGCAGAAGAAGCACCGGCUAACUCCGUGCCAGCAGCCGCGGUAAUACGGAGGGUGCAAGCGUUAAUCGGAAUUACUGGGCGUAAAGCGCACGCAGGCGGUCUGUCAAGUCGGAUGUGAAAUCCCCGGGCUCAACCUGGGAACUGCAUUCGAAACUGGCAGGCUAGAGUCUUGUAGAGGGGGGUAGAAUUCCAGGUGUAGCGGUGAAAUGCGUAGAGAUCUGGAGGAAUACCGGUGGCGAAGGCGGGCCCCCUGGACAAAGACUGACGCUCAGGUGCGAAAGCGUGGGGAGCAAACAGGAUUAGAUACCCUGGUAGUCCACGCCGUAAACGAUGUCGAUUUGGAGGUUGUGCCCUUGAGGCGUGGCUUCCGGAGCUAACGCGUUAAAUCGACCGCCUGGGGAGUACGGCCGCAAGGUUAAAACUCAAAUGAAUUGACGGGGGCCCGCACAAGCGGUGGAGCAUGUGGUUUAAUUCGAUGCAACGCGAAGAUCUUACCUGGUCUUGACAUCCACAGAACUUAGCAGAGAUGCUUUGGUGCCUUCGGGAACUGUGAGACAGGUGCUGCAUGGCUGUCGUCAGCUCGUGUUGUGAAAUGUUGGGUUAAGUCCCGCAACGAGCGCAACCCUUAUCCUUUGUUGCCAGCGGUUAGGCCGGGAACUCAAAGGAGACUGCCAGUGAUAAACUGGAGGAAGGUGGGGAUGACGUCAAGUCAUCAUGGCCCUUACGACCAGGGCUACACACGUGCUACAAUGGCAUAUACAAAGAGAAGCGACCUCGCGAGAGCAAGCGGACCUCAUAAAGUAUGUCGUAGUCCGGAUUGGAGUCUGCAACUCGACUCCAUGAAGUCGGAAUCGCUAGUAAUCGUAGAUCAGAAUGCUACGGUGAAUACGUUCCCGGGCCUUGUACACACCGCCCGUCACACCAUGGGAGUGGGUUGCAAAAGAAGUAGGUAGCUUAACCUUCGGGAGGGCGCUUACCAC